GGGUUGUGAGGUUAAGCGACUAAGCGUACACGGUGGAUGCCCUGGCAGUCAGAGGCGAUGAAGGGCGUGCUAAUCUGCGAUAAGCGCCGGUAAGGUGAUAUGAACCGUUAUAACCGGCGAUACCCGAAUGGGGAAACCCAGUGUGAUUCGUCACACUAUCAUUAACUGAAUCCAUAGGUUAAUGAGGCGAACCGGGGGAACUGAAACAUCUAAGUACCCCGAGGAAAAGAAAUCAACCGAGAUUCCCCCAGUAGCGGCGAGCGAACGGGGAGGAGCCCAGAGCCUGAAUCAGCAUGUGUGUUAGUGGAAGCGUCUGGAAAGGCGCGCGAUACAGGGUGACAGCCCCGUACACAAAAGCGCAUGUGUUGUGAGCUCGAUGAGUAGGGCGGGACACGUGGUAUCCUGUCUGAAUAUGGGGGGACCAUCCUCCAAGGCUAAAUACUCCUGACUGACCGAUAGUGAACCAGUACCGUGAGGGAAAGGCGAAAAGAACCCCGGCGAGGGGAGUGAAAAAGAACCUGAAACCGUGUACGUACAAGCAGUGGGAGCACCCUUUGGGGUGUGACUGCGUACCUUUUGUAUAAUGGGUCAGCGACUUAUAUUCUGUAGCAAGGUUAACCGAAUAGGGGAG
This 631-nucleotide ribosomal RNA is filed under the name Salmonella enterica. RNAcentral describes it as "partial 23S ribosomal RNA". It matches the Rfam family "Bacterial large subunit ribosomal RNA", at positions 1 to 665 of the family's 2925-position model. The record is from RNAcentral. Lineage: Bacteria; Pseudomonadati; Pseudomonadota; Gammaproteobacteria; Enterobacterales; Enterobacteriaceae.